This 253-nucleotide ribosomal RNA is filed under the name uncultured bacterium. RNAcentral's name for it is "partial 16S ribosomal RNA". It matches the Rfam family "Bacterial small subunit ribosomal RNA", at positions 524 to 776 of the family's 1533-position model. The record is from RNAcentral.
UACGAAGGGGGCGAGCGUUGUUCGGAUUUACUGGGCGUAAAGGGCGCGUAGGCGGCCCUCCUAGUCGCGUGUGAAGGCCCCGGGCUCAACCUGGGAAUUGCGCGCGAAACGGGGGGGCUUGAGUUCGGGAGAGGAGCGUGGAAUUCCCAGUGUAGAGGUGAAAUUCGUAGAUAUUGGGAAGAACACCGGUGGCGAAGGCGGCGCUCUGGACCGAGACUGACGCUGAGGCGCGAAAGCGUGGGGAGCAAACAGG